AACGAACGCUGGCGGCAUGCCUAACACAUGCAAGUCGAACGAGACCUUCGGGUCUAGGGGCGCACGGGUGCGGACCGCGGGGGAACCUGCACUUAGGUUCGGAGUAACUCCCCGAAGGGGGUGCUAAUACCGGAUAAUGUCUUAGGACCAAAGAUUUAUCGCCUUUGGGUGGGCCCGUGUUGGAUUAGCCAGUUGGUAGGGUAAAAGCCUACCAAGGCGACGAUCCAUAGCUGGUCUGAUAGGAUGAUCAGCAACGCUGGGAAUGAGACCCGGACCAGUCUCGUACGCGAGGGAGCAGUGUAGAAUAUUGUGGCAGGAACGCAGGUGUGGUACAGCCAUGCGGCGUAAGAGAGGAAGCCAGUAGGGUUGUAAAUCUGUUUUACCCGGGGCGAGAAUGACAGUACUGGGAGAAGAAGCACCGGCUAACUACGUG
RNAcentral lists this ribosomal RNA (433 nucleotides) under uncultured bacterium. Its description in RNAcentral is "partial 16S ribosomal RNA". It matches the Rfam family "Bacterial small subunit ribosomal RNA", at positions 29 to 507 of the family's 1533-position model. The record is from RNAcentral.